UAAGAGAUUCAUGUUGGAGAGGUUACUUAUACCCAACAUAUGAGGGACAGAGAUUCAUGUUGGGGAGGUCGACUAUAGCCAACAUAUGAGGGACAGAGAUUCAUGUUGGGGAGGUUACUUAUAGCCAACAUAUGAGGGUAAGAGAUUCAUGUUGGAGAGGUCGACUAUAGCCAACAUAUGAGGGUAAGAGAUUCAUGUUGGAGAGGUCGACUAUAGCCAACAUAUGAGGGGCAGAUAUUCAUGUUGGGGAGGUUACUUAUAGCCAACAUAUGAGGGGACGAGAUUCAUGUUGUCGAGGAAAGGACCCGCGGGAACCCACUCUAAAACCGUCUCACUAAUCUGCUUUCACUACAUCGGGCGUUUAUUCCCAUGUAUUUCCGCCCUUGAGCUGCCUCCUUCGCUGUAAAAUAAAUAAUACACAACCGCAUGUAUCGUCAGGGAUGCAUACACGUUUACGAAAGAGAAUACAGGACUGAGACGCGUAACGGGAACUGAAACUUAAGCGAUAGAGCGACAGCCAUCGACUUGCGCUGCACAGUAACGAAGCGAUAUUUGAUUCCGAGUUCGUUUUGAUAUAGUACACAGGUGAGGGCUUUGAGUACCCACACCUGUACGCACACACACACACACACCUGUACACACACACACACACACACACACACACACACACACACACACACAGAAACCUACCCUUUAACCUUCUCAGCUUAACACGCCCACACCCACACCCACACUCACUCACACACACACACACACACACACACACACACACACACACACACACACACACACACAAGAAGAGGUGGGAUGCUGCCUCUGAUGCUGAGACCUUAAGAGGCUUUAGAGGUAGAAAAAUACUUGAGCUUCAAAAUUAAUAUCAAAUUCACACCUGCCCCUCGUUUUCUCAUUUAUUUUCUUCCCCUUUUUUACGAACUAAUGAAAUGAACGAAGCGAGUAAGAGAACAUGUUUAUUUUUCAUCAGUUCUCUUUUACGUAGUGUUACUGAGCAAAGGAAAGCCUGUGGACCAAUAAAAAGUGUGAAGUAAACCCCAAGCUGGUCUCUCAUUGGACGAAGCUCUCAUGACGUCACUGCUGAGUUCUGAUUGGGUAAAGCCUCGUGACGGGCCUAGCAGCUCUCUUCUGAUUGGAUGAAGCUUACGCGAAGUUAACAAAAGCUGGAUUCUAAUUGGCUAAAGACCUACUGACGACAUAGAGGUUCUUUUUUAAUUGGAUACGGAUUUUUUCGCGCCGUCAAGACCUUCCUUCUGAUUGGACAGGGUACUUUAAACACUUCCAAAGACAUUUACCACUAACCCUCACGAAGUCAACCAGUGCUGGACUCGAAUUGGCUACAGACCUACUGACGACAUAGAGGCUCUUUUUUAAUUGGAUACGGAUUUUUUCGCGCCGUCAAGAUCUUCCUUCUGAUUGGACAAAGUUCUUUAAACAUUUCCAAAAAACAAGGAAUCCUAAAAUAGUUCUCAAGAAGCCAACCAGAGCUGGAUUCUAAUUGGAUGAAGACCUUCUGACCCUUGAAAGACUCUAUUCUAAUUGGAUACGACUUCUUUCACGUUUUCAAGACCUUAAUCUCAUUGGACAAAGUUCUUUAGAGUAAUUAAAUAUCUGUGGUGACUGUGUGCUUAGGCUGAUUAUAGUUAUUGUUUUUGUUUUUGUUGUUUUUGUUUUGCAUUUAUGAACUAUUAAAUUGUUUUGAGUUGUGGGUAGCUGUAGGUUGAUUGGUGAAUGCGUUGUUGUUGUUGUUGUUGUUGUUGUUGUUGUUGUUGUUGUUGUUGUUGUUGUUGUUGUUGUUGCUGUUGGUACUAUUGUUGUAUUUUGGCAAAUUUAUACAUACUGUCGCACUUCAUAAUUCGGCAUAGCAUUGCAUUUUAAUAUACAAAAGAAAAAUCAACACUUACUUAGCUCAUUAAAAAAAAACACACAAACACACACACACACACACACACACACACACACACACACACACACACACACACACACACACACACACACACACACACACACACACACACAUACGCACACCAAACCUCACACCUGGAUAACAAGAACACACAGGUAGAAACAAUUAACUAACUCACACAACUUCUGCUAAAUCACACGUGUUACCUCUGAUGAAGCUUCUGUGUGUUACGUCAGGGAUUCUUUGGCCCUUGGAACACACAACACAAGCAACACAACAAACACAGGUGAUCAGGUGUUGCCCAGGUGGUUUGAUUAAUUCCUUGGCACCUUGAUUAACCACUUGGCACUCCUCUUCGUCCUUGGCACUGGUGGAAGGGAUGUGGAGGGCCAGAAAAUGUGGGUUUGUGGUUUAUUUAUAUCCUUCAAUUUCCUUUCAUUUUCCUCUCAUGUGCUCCAGGUUCAAAGUUACGGAGAUGAGCACCGAGGCCUCGCGUAACUAUUGCGUAUGCCCCCAACUUUACCUUUUUCCUUAUACGGUUUAACACAUGGAUGAUUUUUUUCUCUCAUGUGCUCCAGGGUCAAAGUUACGGAGAUGAGCACCGAGGCCUCGCGUAGCUAUUGCGUAUGCCCCAAACUUUACCUUUUUCCUUUAACGGUUUAACACAUGGAUGAUAUUUUUCUCUGUUAUUGGUUAAUUGCGAAUUGGUUGACGAUAGGACGUUUUUUUUUAUUUUUACGUUUUUCCGAAGUUCCCGUUUUAGUGUUGAUGUCGAGCUUUGUGUUAAUUUUUUUCGGAGUUUUCAAGGUAAUAGGUAAGAUUUUUCAAGUAUUUUUUUAUAUAUUUUCUUUUUUUCAGUCACUUACAUAUUUUUUUCUUUCUGAACUUUCUGAUUUUGUUGAUUUCCUUCUUUUCCUAAAUACUUUCUUGAUUGAUUCUUAACUUUGCUUCACUAAUACAGAAAAAAAAACUUGAACCGAAACACACACACACACACACACACACACACGGUAGGGAGGGAGGGAUGGCGCAAAACAAACGAGAAAGCAACAGCUUCCACAGUACAAAAGCUCUGUACACACACACACACACACACACACACACACACACACACACACACUAUCGGUUAAUUGAGCGAAACUUGUAUUAACGUUAAACACUUUCGGAACAAGAAUAAAGAAGAGAAAAGGAAGAAAAAGAAGAAGAGACAAAGACGAGGAGGAGGAGGAGGAGGAGGAGGAGGAGGAGGAGGAGGAGGAGGAGGAAGAAAAAGAGGAG
Long non-coding RNA from Eriocheir sinensis (Chinese mitten crab), 3196 nucleotides. RefSeq lists it as uncharacterized. The transcript is spliced from 3 exons. The record is from RefSeq and is a predicted model, not a curated record. Lineage: Eukaryota; Metazoa; Arthropoda; Malacostraca; Decapoda; Varunidae.